GCGCCAAGGGAGUCCUACUCCCACCGGGAGUAGGAUUCCUUCUUUCCUAGUCCAACUAGGUCAAGGGGGGAAAGAAGGGAAGUGGGGAAGGAAGGGAGAGGGGGGCCGCGCCCCAAACCCUUUGUCCAAUUCGGACUGGGCUUGGGAGGGGCGCGCGCCUCCUCCUGGCUCCUUCCCACUAAAGCCCAUUAAGGCCCAAUACUCUUCCCCAUAUUCCCGUAACUCCCCGGUACUCCGAAAAAUACCCGAAUCACUCGGAACCUUUCCGAACUCCGAAUAUAGUCGUCCAAUAUAUCGAUCUUUACAUCUCGACCAUUUCGAGACUCCUCGUCAUGUCCCCGAUCUCAUCCGGGACUCCGAACUCCUUCGGUACAUCAAAACUCAUAAACUCAUAAUAAAACUGUCAUCAAAACCUUAAGCGUGCGGACCCUACGGGUUCGAGAACUAUGUAGACAUGACCUAAAACCAUUCUCGGUCAAUAACCAAUAGCGGGACCUGGAUGCCCAUAUUGGUUCCUACAUAUUCUACGAAGAUCUUUAUCGGUCAAACCGCAUAAUAACAUACUUUGUUCCCUUUGUCAUCGGUAUGUUACUUGCCCGAGAUUUGAUCGUCGGUAUCCAAUACCUAGUUCAAUCUCGUUACCGGCAAGUCUCUUUACUCGUUCCGUAAUACGUCAUCUCAUAACUAACUCAUUAGUUAUAUGCUUGCAAGGCUUAGGUGAUGAGUAUUACCGAGAGGGCCCAGAGAUACCUCUCCGACAAUCGGAGUGACAAAUCCUAAUCUUGAAUUAUGCCAACCCAACAUGUACCUUCAGAAACACCUGUAGAGCACCUUUAUAAUCACCCAGUUACGUUGUGACGUUUGGUAGCACACAAAGUGUUCUUCCGGUAAACGGGAGUUGCACAAUCUCAUAGUUGCAGGAACUUUGUAUAAGUCAUGAAGAAAGCAAUAGCAACAUACUAAACGAUCAAGUGCUAAGCUAACGGAAUGGGUCAAGUCAAUCACAUCAUUCUCCUAAUGAUGUGAUCUCGUUAAUCAAAUGACAACUCUUUUGUCCAUGGCUAGGAAACAUAACCAUCUCUGAUAAACGAGCUAGUCAAGUAGAGGCAUACUAGUGACACUAUGUUUGUCUAUGUAUUCACAGAUGUAUUACGUUUCCGGUUAAUACAAUUCUAGCAUGAAUAAUAAACAUUUAUCAUGAAAUAAGGAAAUAAAUAAUAACUUUAUUAUUGCCUCUAGGGCAUAUUUCCUUCAGUCUCCCACUUGCACUAGAGUCAAUAAUCUAGUUCACAUCGCCAUGUGAUUUAACACCAAUAUUCAUAUCUGUAUAUGAUUAACACCCAUAGUUCACAUCGUCAUGUGACCAACACCCAAAGUGUUUACUAGAGUCAAUAAUCUAGUUCACAUCGCUUAUGUGAUUAACACCCAAAGAGUACUAAGGUGUGAUCAUGUUUUGCUCGUGAGAGAAGCUUAGUCAACGGGUCUGUCAUAUUCAGAGCCGUAUGUAUUUUGCAAAUAUUUUAUGUCCACAAUGCUCUGCACGGAGCUACUCUAGCUAAUUGCUCCCACUUUCAAUAUGUAUCCAGGUUGAGACUUAGAGUCAUCUGGAUCAGUGUAAAAGUUUGUACUGAUGUAACUUUUACAACAAACUCUUUUAUCACCUCCAUAAUCGAGAAACAUCUCCUUAGUUCUUACUAAGGAUAUCCUUGACCAAUGUCCAGUGAUCUACUCCUAGAUCACUAUUGUACUCCCUUGCCAAAUUCAGAGCAAAGUAUACAAUAGGUCUGGUACAUAGCAUAGCAUACUUUAUAGAACCUAUGACUGAGGCAUAGGGAAUGACUUUUCAUUCUUUUUCUAUUUUCUGUUGUGGUCGGGAUUUGAGUCUUACUCAAUUUCAUACCUUUGCAACACAGGCAAGAACUCUUUCUUUGACUGUUCCAUUUUGAACGAUUUCAAAAUCUUGCCAAGGUAUGUACUCAUUGAAAAUCUUAUCAAGCGUCUUGAUCUAUCUCAAUAGAUCUUGAUGCUCAAUAUGUAAGUAGCUUUUACUGAGGUCUUUUCUUUUUAAAGAACUCCUUUAAAACACUCCUUUAUGCUUUGCAGAAAAAUCCUACAUCAUUUCUGAUCAACAAUAUGUCACUCACAUAUACUAAUCAGAAAGGCUGUAGUGCUCCCACUCACUUUAUUGUAAAUACAGGCUUCAUCGUAAGUCCAUAUAAAACUAUAUGCUUUGAUCAACUUAUCAAAGCAUAUAUUCCAACUCCGAGAUGCUUGCACCAGUCCAUAGAUGGAUCGCUGGAGCUUGCACAUUUUGUUAGCACCUUUAGGAUUGACAAAACCUUCUGGUUGUAUCAUAUACAACUCUUCUUUAAUAAAUUUAAGGAAUGUAGUUUUGACAUCCAUUUGCCAAAUUUCAUAAAAUGUGGCAAUUGCUAACAUGAUUCGGACAGACUUUUAAGCAUCGAUACGAGUGAGAAAAUCUCAUUGUAUUCAACACUUUGAACUUUGUCAAAAACCAUUUUCGACAAGUCUAGCUUUGUAGAUAGUAACACUACUAUCAACGUCCGUCUUCCUCUUGAAGAUCCAUUUAUUCUUAAUGACUCACCGAUCAUCGGGCAAGUCAAUCAAAGUCUACACUUUGUUCUCAUACAUGGAUCAUAUCUCAGAUUUCAUGGCCUCAAGCCAUUUCGUGGAAUCUGGGCUCAUCAUCGCUUCCUCAUAGUUCGUAGGUUCAUCAUGGUCUAGUAACAUGACUUCCAGAACAUGAUUACUACACCACUCUGGUGCGGAUCUUACUCUGGAAGACCUACGAGGUUCUGUAGUAACUUGAUCUGAAGUUUCAUGAUCAAUAUCAUUAGCUUCCUCACUAAUUGGUGUAUUUGUCACAGGAACUAAUUUCUGUGAUAAACUACUUUCCAAUAAGGGAGCAGGUACAGUUACCUCAUCAAGUUCUACUUUCCUCCCACUCACUUCUUUCGAGAGAAACUUCUUCUCUAGAAAGGAUCCAUCUUAGCAACGAAUAACUUGCCUUCGGAUCUGUGAUAGAAGGUGUACCCAAUAGUUACCUUUGGGUAUUCUAUGAAGACGCACUUCUCCGAUUUGGGUUCGAGCUUAUCAGGUUGAAACUUUUUCACAUAAGCAUCGCAGCCCCAAAUUUUAAGAAACGACAACUUUUGGUUUCUCGCCAAACCACAGUUCAUAAGGCGUCGUCUCAACGGAUUUUGAUGGUGCCCUAUUUAAAGUGAAUGCAGCUGUGUCUAAUGCAUAACCCCAAAAUGAUAGUGGUAAAUCGGUAAGAGACAUCAUAGAUCGCACCAUAUCAAAUAAAGUGCGGUUACGACGUUCGGACACACCAUAACAUUGUGGUGUUCCAGGUGGCGUGAGCUGUGAAACUAUUCCACAUUGUUUUAAUUGAAGACCAAACUCGUAACUCAAAUAUUCGUCUCCGCGAUCAGAUCACAAAAACUUUAUUUUCUUGUUACGAUGAUUUUCCACUUCACUCUGAAAUUCUUUGAACCUUUCAACUAUUUCAGACUUAUGUUUCAUCAAGUAGAUAUACCAAUAUCUGCUCAAAUCAUCUGUGAAGGUCAGAAAAUAACGAUACCCGCCGCGAGCUUCAACAUUCAUCGGGCCACAUACAUCUGUAUGUAUGAUUUCCAACAAAUCCGUUGCUCGCUCCAUUGUUCCGGAGAACGGAGUCUUAGUCAUCUUGCCCAUGAGGCAUGGUUUGCAAGCAUCAAGUGAUUCAUAAUCAAGUGAUCCCAAAAUCCCAUCAGCAUGGAGUUUCUUCGUGCACUUUACACCAAUAUGACCUAAAUGGCAGUGCCACAAAUAAGUUGCACUAUCAUUAUUAACUUUGCAUCUUUUGGCUUCAAUAUUAUGAAAUAUGUGUAUUAUUACGAUCGAGAUCCAACAAACCAUUUUCGUUGGUGUGUAUGACCAUAGAAGGUUUUAUUCAUGUAAACAGAACAACAUUUGUUCUCUAACUUAAAUGAAUAACCGUAUUGCAAUAAACAUGAUCAAAUCAUAUUCAUGCUCAACUCAAACACCAAAUAACAUUUAUUUAGGUUCAACACUAAUCCCGAAAGUAUAGGGACUGUGCGAUGAUGAUCAUAUCAAUCUUGGAACUACUUCCAACACUCAUCGUCACUUCCCCUUUAACUAGUCUUUGUUUAUUCUGUAACUCCUGUUUCGAGUUACUAAUCUUAGCAACCGAACAAGUAUCAAAUAGUCAGGGGCUACUAUAAACACUAGUAAAGUACACAUCAAUAAUAUGUAUAUCAAAUAUACUUAUGUUCACUUUGCCAUCCUUCUUAUCCGCCAAUCAAUUGGGGUAGUUUCGCUUCCAGUGACCAGUCUCUUUGCAGUAGAAGCACUUAGUCUCAGGCUUAGGACCAGACUUGGGUUUCUUCACUUGAGCAGCAACUUGCUUGCCGUUCUUCUUGAAGUUCCCCUUCUUUUCCCUUUGCCCUUUUUCUUGAAACUAGUGGUCUUGUCAAUCAUCAACACUUGAUGCUCUUUCUUGAUUUCUACCUUCGUUGAUUUCAACAUCACGAAGAGCUCGGGAAUCAUUUUCGUCAUCCCUUGCAUACUAUAGUUCAUCACGAAGUUCUAGCAACUUAGUGAUGGUGACUAGAGAAUUCUGUCAGUCACUAUCUUAUCUGGAAGAUUAACUCCCACUUGAUUCAAGCGAUUGAAGUACUCAGACAAUCUGAGCACAUGCUCACUAGUUGAGCGAUUCUCCUCCAUCUUUUAGCUAUAGAACUUGUUGGAGACUUCAUAUCUCUCAACUCGGGUAUUUGCUUGAAAUAUUAACUUCAACUCCUGGAACAUCUUAUAUGGUCCAUGACGUUCAAAAAAACGUCUUUGAAGUCCGAUUCUAAGCCAUAAAGCAUGGUGCACAAAACUAUCAAGUAGUCAUCAUAUUGAGCUUAGCUAAACGUUCAUAACGUCUGCAUCUGCUCCUGCAAUAGGUCUGUCACCUAGCGGUGCAUUAAGGACAUAAUUCUUCUGUGCAGCAAUGAGGAUAAACCUCAGAUCACGGAUCCAAUCCGCAUCAUUGCCACUAACAUUUUUCAACACAAUUUUCUCUAGGAACAUAUCAAAAUAAACAUAUGAAAACAACAACGCAAGCUAUUGAUCUUACAACAUAAUUUGCAAAAUACUACCAGGACUAAGUUCAUGAUAAAUUUAAGUUCAAUUAAUCAUAUUACUUAAGAACUCCCACUUAGACAGACAUCUCUCUAGUCAUCUAAGUGAUCACGUGAUCCAAAUCAACUAAACCAUAACCGAUCAUCACGUGAGAUGGAGUAGUUUUCAAUGGUGAACAUCUUAUGUUGAUCAUAUCUACUAUAUGAUUCACGCUCGACCUUUCGGUCUCCGUGUUCCGAGGCCAUAUCUGCAUAUGCUAGGCUCGUCAAGUUUAACCUGAGUAUUCCGUGUGUGCAAAACUGGCUUGCACCCAUUGUAGAUGGACGCAGAGCUUAUCACUCCCGAUCAUCACGUGGUGUCUGGGCACGACGAACUUUGGCAACGGUGCAUACUCAGGGAGAACACUUCUUGAUAAUUUAGUGAGAGAUCAUCUUAAAAUGCUACCGUCAAUCAAAACAUAAUAAGAUGUAUAACAGAUAAACAUCAUAUGCAAAAUAUGUGACAUGAUAUGGCCAUGAUCAUUUUGCGCCUUUGAUCUCCAUCUCCAAAGUACUGUCAUGAUCUCUAUCAUCACCGGCACGACACCAUGAUCUUCAUCAUCUUGAUCUAUAUCAAUGUGUCAUCACAUGGUUGUCUCACCAACUAUUGCUCUUGCAACUAUUGCUAUCGCAUAGCGAUAAAGUAAAGCAAUUAUUUGGCACUUGCAUCUUAUGCAACAAAGAGACAUCCAUAGGGCUUCUGUCAGUUGCCGAUAACUUCAACAAAACAUGAUCAUCUCAUACAACAACUUAUAUCUUAUCACGUCUUGACCAUAUCACAUCACAACAUGCCCUGCAAAAACAAGUUAGACGUCCUCUACUUUGUUGUUGCAAAUUUUACGUGGCUGCUACGGGCUUAGCAAGAACCGUUCUCACCUACGCAUCAAAAUCACAACGAUAGUUUGUCAAAUAGACUCCGUUUUAACCUUCGCAAGGACCGGGCGUAGCCACACUCGGUUCAACUAAAGUUGGAGAAACUGACACCCGCCAGCCACCUGUGUGCAAAGCACGUCGGUAGAACCAGUCUCGCGUAAGCGUACGCGUAAUGUCGGUAUGGGCCGCUUCAUCCAACAAUACCGCCGAACCAAAGUAUGACAUGCUGGUAGGCAGUAUGACUUAUAUCGUCCACAACUCACUUGUGUUCUACUCGUGCAUAUAACAUCAACGCAUAAAACCUAGGCUCGGAUGCCACUGUUGGGAACGUAGUAAUUUCAAAAAAUUUCCUACGCACACGCAAGAUCAUGGUGAUGCAUAGCAACGAGAGGGGAGAGUGUUGUCCACGUACCCUCUUAGACCGUAAGCGGAAGCGUUAUGACAACGCGGUUGAUGUAGUCGUACGUCUUCACGAUCCGACCGAUCCAAGCACCGAACGUACGGCACCUCCGAGUUCAGCACACGUUCAGCUCGAUGACGAUCUCCGGCCUCCGAUCCAGCGAAGCUCCGGAGAUGAGUUCCGUCAGCACGACGGCGUGGUGACGAUGAUGAUGUUCUACCGGCGCAGGGCUUCGCCUAAGCUCCGCGACGAUAUGACCGAGGUGGAAUAUGAUGGAGGGGGGCACCGCACACGGCUAAGGAACGAUCCGUAGAUCAACUUGUGUGUCUAUGGGGUGCCCCCCUGCCCCCGUAUAUAAAGGAGCAAGGGAGGAGGAGGCCGGCCCUAGGAGGAGGGCGCGCCAAGGGAGUCCUACUCCCACCGGGAGUAGGAUUCCUUCUUUCCUAGUCCAACUAGGUCAAGGGGGAAAAGAAGGGAAGUGGAGAAGGAAGGGAGAGGGGGGCCGCGCCCCAAACCCUUUGUCCAAUUCGGACUGGGCUUGGGAGGGGCGCGCGCCUCCUCCUGGCUCCUUCCCACUAAAGCCCAUUAAGGCCCAAUACUCUUCCCCGUAUUCCCGUAACUCCCCGGUACUCCGAAAAAUACCCGAAUCACUCGGAACCUUUCCGAACUCCGAAUAUAGUCGUUCAAUAUAUCGAUCUUUACGUCUCGACCAUUUCGAGACUCCUCGUCAUGUCCCCAAUCUCAUCCGGGACUCCGAACUCCUUCGGUACAUCAAAACUCAUAAACUCAUAAUAAAACUGUCAUCAAAACCUUAAGCGUG
Molecule: long non-coding RNA, 7282 nt
Filed under: Triticum aestivum (bread wheat)
Lineage: Eukaryota; Viridiplantae; Streptophyta; Magnoliopsida; Poales; Poaceae
Description: long non-coding RNA (TAES_LNC023409)
Source: RNAcentral